This 254-nucleotide ribosomal RNA is filed under the name uncultured bacterium. RNAcentral describes it as "partial 16S ribosomal RNA". It matches the Rfam family "Bacterial small subunit ribosomal RNA", at positions 524 to 776 of the family's 1533-position model. The record is from RNAcentral.
UACAGAGGUCCCGAGCGUUGUUCGGAUUCACUGGGCGUAAAGGGUGCGUAGGUGGCUUCGCAAGUUUGAUGUGAAAUCUCCGGGCUUAACCCGGAAAUGGCAUUGAAUACUGCGUGAGCUCGAGGGUUGGAGGGGGGACUGGAAUUCUCGGUGUAGCAGUGAAAUGCGUAGAGAUCGGCAGGAACACCCGUGGCGCAAGCGGCCACCUAGCCCAUUCCUGACGCUGAUGCGCGACAGCGUGGGGAGCGAACUGG